This 346-nucleotide long non-coding RNA is filed under the name Ananas comosus (pineapple). Its description in RNAcentral is "long non-coding RNA (ACOM_LNC041312)". Lineage: Eukaryota; Viridiplantae; Streptophyta; Magnoliopsida; Poales; Bromeliaceae. The record is from RNAcentral.
UUUAAGUUUUUAAUUUCGACCCAAUUUGGUCACCGAAAACUGUGCCGAACUGUAAUCUUUAUCAGAUAGUUGUUGGAUUUUAUUUCUCACUCUACGGGUGUCAGAAAAAUAUGAAACUUUAAAUCUAGCCUCAUAAAAAUAUUUCUGACUUAUCCUCCAAUUUUCAUAAUUUUCUGAGACUGUGCAUUUUCUGCUAAUUUAUCUAUCCCGUUUCCAACAGAAAAUUCUAGAUCUUCUGUUUUCAUUCCGAUUUCGGCACAAGUCACUUCUGACUUAUGUUUUACUUCUACAAAUUCAAUAAAAAUAGUUUCUCAUAUUAUUUUUAUUUAUUUUUAUUUUUAUACCA